AUUGAACGCUGGCGGCAGGCCUAACACAUGCAAGUCGAACGAGUGGCGGACGUGUGAGUAAUGUCUGGGAAACUGCCUGAUGGAUGGGGUUCACUACUGGACACGGUAGCUAAUACCGCAUACCAUAAGAUUAGCCCGGGUGGGACUCGCUGGUUGGUGGGGUAACGGCUAACCAAGGCGACGAUCCCUAGCUGGUCUGAGAGGAGGACCAGCCACACUGGAAAUGAGACACGGUCCAGACUCCUACGGGAGGCAGCAGUGGGGAAUAUUGCACAAUGGGCGAAAGCCUGAUGCAGCCAUGCCGCGUGUAUGAAGAAGGCCUUCGGGUUGUAAAGUACUUUCAGCGGGGAGGCGUUACCCGCAGAAGAAGCACCGGCUAACUCCGUGCCAGCAGCCGCGGUAAUUC
Molecule: ribosomal RNA, 406 nt
Filed under: uncultured bacterium
Lineage: Bacteria
Description: partial 16S ribosomal RNA
Rfam family: Bacterial small subunit ribosomal RNA
Source: RNAcentral